GACGAACGCUGGCGGCGUGCUUAACACAUGCAAGUCGAACGGAGUUCCUUGGAUAGAGGCUUCGGCCAAUUGAAUUGGAACUUAGUGGCGGACUGGUGAGUAACGCGUGAGGAACCUGCCUUUCAGAGGGGGACAACAGUUGGAAACGACUGCUAAUACCGCAUGACACAUUCGGAUGGCAUCACCUGAAUGUCAAAGAUUUUAUCGCUGAAAGAUGGCCUCGCGUCUGAUUAGCUAGUUGGUGGGGUAACGGCCCACCAAGGCGACGAUCAGUAGCCGGACUGAGAGGUUGACCGGCCACAUUGGGACUGAGAUACGGCCCAGACUCCUACGGGAGGCAGCAGUGGGGAAUAUUGGGCAAUGGACGCAAGUCUGACCCAGCAACGCCGCGUGAAGGAAGAAGGCUUUCGGGUUGUAAACUUCUUUUAAGAGGGAAGAAACAAAUGACGGUACCUGUGGAGGAAGCCACGGCUAACUACGUG
Molecule: ribosomal RNA, 482 nt
Filed under: uncultured bacterium
Lineage: Bacteria
Description: bacterial SSU rRNA
Rfam family: Bacterial small subunit ribosomal RNA
Source: RNAcentral